CUUCAGUGACAGCCAUGUGCUGCUUUCGUGAGUAUAAUUGGGCGGCGAGCCAUGCAGCUUCCUGGAUUACCCCAGACUCCAACUGUGCAAGAUGGUGGGAAAGCCUUCAACAGGAAUUACUCUGGAGAAGCUAGCAACCUUAGCAACUGCACAUCGUUCAAGAUCAGCUGUCCAGAAGGCUCUCUGUAGAACAGAAUAGCUAAAUACAUCCCCUGGCCUGCAGCUUUACCUCAUAAAAAAAGAUGAAAGGCACAAUCAUUGCUGCUUUUGCCACCUAAUAGAUAAAAAUAGCAUUGUAUCUGGAUUACAGGGAGAAAGAAAGCAUCUCCUGGGCAGGUGCCACCCACAAUCCUUAUUCCUCCCCAGGCUAUUCCAUUCUAAAGGAGAAAACUAAACAUUUCAAAAACCAAACACGGUCUCUUGAGCACAGAGGCCUCAAACAAUGUUCUCACUGAAGAUGUGUCACCUGAGAAAAGUUUAUUUCCAGGGUUGUGACAAUCCCUACUAAUAAGGAGCUUUGCAGGCAAGAACACGGUGCUGGUCAGAAAGUCCACGUUGCCUGAUGCUUGGCGCCUUCACUUGAGUUAACAACACCUCAGAUCAUCCGCUUGGCUUUUCAUGUUUGAAUUUCCCCCUAGAAACUGCUUCAGGCACAGAGGGAGAGCUGUGAUCGUUUUUAUUUUGUUUCAUGUCCAACUGUUCCGUAAUCCAGCUAUGAAAGAAUUGUCAGCUUUAGUGGAAUCCUUUUCCAAGCUUUUCAUAGUCAUGGUGAAAGACAUCCAUUCUGUUGGUUUUUCUGUUCCACUGAUCAGUUUUCUUCUAUUGUUAUUGCAUUUGUUUACCUGGGCUGCUGUAAAACAAAAUAUCAGAGACUGGGUGGCUUAAACAACAGGAACUUAUUAUCUUGCAGUCCUGGAGGCUGGAAGUCCGAGAACAAUGCGUGGGCAGGGUUGGUUUCUCCUAAAGUCUCUCUCCUUGGGUUACAGAUGACCAUCUCCCAG
Molecule: long non-coding RNA, 1001 nt
Filed under: Homo sapiens (human)
Lineage: Eukaryota; Metazoa; Chordata; Mammalia; Primates; Hominidae
Description: HSALNT0344758
Source: RNAcentral